GAUGAACGCUGGCGGCGUGCUUAACACAUGCAAGUCGAACGAUGAAGCCCAGCUUGCUGGGUGGAUUAGUGGCGAACGGGUGAGUAACACGUGAGUAACCUGCCCUUGACUCUGGGAUAAGCCUGGGAAACUGGGUCUAAUACUGGAUAUGACUUCUCAUCGCAUGGUGGGGGGUGGAAAGAUUUAUUGGUCUUGGAUGGACUCGCGGCCUAUCAGCUUGUUGGUGAGGUAAUGGCUCACCAAGGCGACGACGGGUAGCCGGCCUGAGAGGGUGACCGGCCACACUGGGACUGAGACACGGCCCAGACUCCUACGGGAGGCAGCAGUGGGGAAUAUUGCACAAUGGGCGCAAGCCUGAUGCAGCGACGCCGCGUGAGGGAUGACGGCCUUCGGGUUGUAAACCUCUUUCAGUAGGGAAGAAGCGAGAGUGACGGUACCUGCAGAAGAAGCGCCGGCUAACUACGUGCCAGCAGCCGCGGUAAUACGUAGGGCGCGAGCGUUAUCCGGAAAUAUUGGGCGUAAAGAGCUCGUAGCGGUUUGUCGCGUCUGCCGUGAAAGUCCGGGGCUUAACUCCGGAUCUGCGGUGGGUACGGGCAGACUAGAGUGCAGUAGGGGAGACUGGAAUUCCUGGUGUAGCGGUGAAAUGCGCAGAUAUCAGGAGGAACACCGAUGGCGAAGGCAGGUCUCUGGGCUGUAACUGACGCUGAGGAGCGAAAGCAUGGGGAGCGAACAGGAUUAGAUACCCUGGUAGUCCAUGCCGUAAACGUUGGGCACUAGGUGUGGGGGACAUUCCACGUUUUCCGCGCCGUAGCUAACGCAUUAAGUGCCCCGCCUGGGGAGUACGGCCGCAAGGCUAAAACUCAAAGGAAUUGACGGGGGCCCGCACAAGCGGCGGAGCAUGCGGAUUAAUUCGAUGCAACGCGAAGAACCUUACCAAGGCUUGACAUGUUCCUGAUCGCCGUAGAGAUACGGUUUCCCCUUUGGGGCAGGUUCACAGGUGGUGCAUGGUUGUCGUCAGCUCGUGUCGUGAGAUGUUGGGUUAAGUCCCGCAACGAGCGCAACCCUCGUUCCAUGUUGCCAGCACUUCGGGUGGGGACUCAUGGGAGACUGCCGGGGUCAACUCGGAGGAAGGUGGGGACGACGUCAAAUCAUCAUGCCCCUUAUGUCUUGGGCUUCACGCAUGCUACAAUGGCCGGUACAAUGGGUUGCGAUACUGUGAGGUGGAGCUAAUCCCAAAAAGCCGGUCUCAGUUCGGAUUGGGGUCUGCAACUCGACCCCAUGAAGUCGGAGUCGCUAGUAAUCGCAGAUCAGCAACGCUGCGGUGAAUACGUUCCCGGGCCU
This 1341-nucleotide ribosomal RNA is filed under the name uncultured bacterium. RNAcentral describes it as "bacterial SSU rRNA". It matches the Rfam family "Bacterial small subunit ribosomal RNA", at positions 28 to 1381 of the family's 1533-position model. The record is from RNAcentral.